This 252-nucleotide ribosomal RNA is filed under the name uncultured bacterium. Its description in RNAcentral is "partial 16S ribosomal RNA". It matches the Rfam family "Bacterial small subunit ribosomal RNA", at positions 524 to 776 of the family's 1533-position model. The record is from RNAcentral.
UACGUAGGGGGCAAGCGUUAUCCGGAUUUACUGGGUGUAAAGGGAGCGUAGACGGCAUGGCAAGUCAGAUGUGAAAGGCAGUGGCUCAACCAUUGUAUGCAUUGGAAACUGGUAGACUUGAGUGCAGGAGAGGAGAGUGGAAUUCCAUGUGUAGCGGUGAAAUGCGUAGAUAUAUGGAGGAACACCGGUGGCGAAAGCGGCUCUCUGGCCUGUAACUGACACUGAGGCUCGAAAGCGUGGGGAGCAAACAGG